RNAcentral lists this ribosomal RNA (492 nucleotides) under uncultured bacterium. RNAcentral describes it as "partial 16S ribosomal RNA". It matches the Rfam family "Bacterial small subunit ribosomal RNA", at positions 29 to 507 of the family's 1533-position model. The record is from RNAcentral.
AGUGAACGCUGGCGGUAGGCCUAACACAUGCAAGUCGAACGGCAGCACAGUAAGAGCUUGCUCUUACGGGUGGCGAGUGGCGGACGUGUGAGGUAUACAUCGGACUCUACUUUUUCGUGGGGGUUAACGUAGGUAAACUUACGCUAAUACCGCAUACGCCCUACGGUUGAAAGCAUUGGAUCUUCUGACCUUGCGCGAUUGCAUGCGCCGAUGUCGGAUUAGCUAGUUGGCUGGGUAAAGGCCCACCAAGUCGACGAUCCGUAGCUGGUCUGGGAGGAUGAUAAGCCACACGGGAACGUGAACAGGGUCAAGAGUACUAUGGGAGGGAGCAGAGGGGAAUAUUGGACAAUGGGCGCAAGCAUGAUCCAGUCAGACCGAGUGGGAGAAGAAGGCGUUGGGGUUGGAAAGACCUUUUGUUGGGAAAGAAAAGCAGCAGGUUAAGACCACGCUGUUGUGACGGUAACCAAAGAAUAAGCACCGGCUAACUUCGUG